RNAcentral lists this ribosomal RNA (603 nucleotides) under Vishniacozyma tephrensis. RNAcentral describes it as "eukaryotic LSU rRNA". It matches the Rfam family "Eukaryotic large subunit ribosomal RNA", at positions 71 to 666 of the family's 3401-position model. Lineage: Eukaryota; Fungi; Basidiomycota; Tremellomycetes; Tremellales; Bulleribasidiaceae. The record is from RNAcentral.
CGGAUUCCUUAGUACGGCGAGUGACCGGGAUGAGCUCAAAUUUGAAAUCUGGCGUCUUUCAGGCGUCCGAGUUGUAAUCUAUAGAGGCGUUUUCCGCGCCGGACCGCGUCCAAGUCUCUUGGAAUAGAGUAUCAAAGAGGGUGACAAUCCCGUACUUGACGCGACAACCGGUGCUCUGUGAUACGUUCUCAACGAGUCGAGUUGUUUGGGAAUGCAGCUCUAAAUGGGUGGUAAAUUCCAUCUAAGGCUAAAUAUUGGCGAGAGACCGAUAGCGAACAAGUACCGUGAGGGAAAGAUGAAAAGCACUUUGGAAAGAGAGUUAAACAGCACGUGAAAUUGUUAAAAGGGAAACGAUUGAAGUCAGUCGUGUGAAAGGUAUUCAGCCGUCUCUGGCGGUGUAUUUGCCUUUCACGGGUCAACAUCAGUUUAGUCCGGUAGAAAAAGGCUGGAGGAAGGUGGCACCCUCGGGUGUGUUAUAGCCUCCUGUCAUAUGUGCCGGAUUAGACUGAGGAACGCAGCUUGCAGCAAUGCCGGGGUUCGCCCACGUACAAGCUUAGGAUGUUGACAUAAUGGCUUUAAACGACCCGUCUUGAAACCACGGAC